This 86-nucleotide transfer RNA is filed under the name Puccinia triticina. RNAcentral describes it as "tRNA-Thr". It matches the Rfam family "tRNA". Rfam says of the family: Transfer RNA (tRNA) molecules are approximately 80 nucleotides in length. Their secondary structure includes four short double-helical elements and three loops (D, anti-codon, and T loops). Lineage: Eukaryota; Fungi; Basidiomycota; Pucciniomycetes; Pucciniales; Pucciniaceae. RNAcentral also lists the same sequence under 1 other name. The record is from RNAcentral.
GCCUGUUUAGCAUAGUCGUUAUUGCGCGGCACUUGUACUGCCCGGUGGUCAUGCCGAGGUCGCUGGUUCAAAUCCGGCAAUGGGCU